Molecule: ribosomal RNA, 446 nt
Filed under: uncultured bacterium
Lineage: Bacteria
Description: partial 16S ribosomal RNA
Rfam family: Bacterial small subunit ribosomal RNA
Source: RNAcentral
GCCAGACUCCUACGGGAGGCAGCAGUGGGGGAUAUUGCACAAUGGGGGAAACCCUGAUGCAGCGACGCCGCGUGUGGGAAGACGGUCCUCUGGAUUGUAAACCACUGUCCCCAGGGACGAAGAUGACGGUACCUGGGGAGGAAGCUCCGGCUAACUACGUGCCAGCAGCCGCGGUAAUACGUAGGGAGCAAGCGUUGUCCGGAAUUACUGGGCGUAAAGGGCGCGUAGGUGGGCGCUUAAGUCAGGUGUGAAAACUCCGGGCUCAACCUGGAGACUGCACUUGAAACUGGGUGUCUUGAGGGCAGGAGAGGAAAGUGGAAUUCCUAGUGUAGCGGUGAAAUGCGUAGAUAUCACGCAGAACUCCGAUUGCGAAGGCAGCGCACCGGCGCCCUACUGACGCUCAGGCACGAAAGCGUGGGUAUCGAACAGGAUUAGAUACCCCAGUA